This 253-nucleotide ribosomal RNA is filed under the name uncultured bacterium. RNAcentral's name for it is "partial 16S ribosomal RNA". It matches the Rfam family "Bacterial small subunit ribosomal RNA", at positions 524 to 776 of the family's 1533-position model. The record is from RNAcentral.
UACGUAGGUGGCAAGCGUUGUUCGGAUUUACUGGGCGUAAAGGGCGCGUAGGUGGUGCGGUAAGCCCUCCGGGAAAGCUUCAGGCUUAACCUGAAAAGGUCGGGGGGGACUGCCGCGCUAGAGGACGGGAGAGGAGCGCGGAAUUCCCGGUGUAGCGGUGAAAUGCGUAGAGAUGCGGAGGAACACCGAUGGCGAAGGCAGCCCCCUGGGCUAACACUGACGCUCAGGCACGAAAGCGUGGGGAGCAAACAGG